Molecule: non-coding RNA, 119 nt
Organism: Triticum aestivum (bread wheat)
Lineage: Eukaryota; Viridiplantae; Streptophyta; Magnoliopsida; Poales; Poaceae
Source: Rfam
GGAUGCGAUCAUACCAGCACUAAAGCAUCGGAACCCAUAAGAACUUUGAAGUUAAGCAUGCUUGGUCAAGAGUAGUACUAGGAUGGGUGACCUCCUGGGAAGUCCUUGUGUUGCAUUUG